Molecule: ribosomal RNA, 431 nt
Filed under: uncultured bacterium
Lineage: Bacteria
Description: bacterial SSU rRNA
Rfam family: Bacterial small subunit ribosomal RNA
Source: RNAcentral
UCAGGCCUAACACGUGCAAGUCGAGGGGUAGAAGGAGCUUGCUCCUUUGAGACCGGCGCACGGGUGCGUAACGCGUAUGCAAUCUACCUUUUACAGAGGGAUAGCCCAGAGAAAUUUGGAUUAAUACCUCAUAGUAUAUAACCUUCGCAUGUUGGUUAUAUUAAAGUUCCAACGGUAAAAGAUGAGCAUGCGUCCUAUUAGCUAGUUGGUGUGGUAACGGCACACCAAGGCAACGAUAGGUAGGGGUCCUGAGAGGGAGAUCCCCCACACUGGUACUGAGACACGGACCAGACUCCUACGGGAGGCAGCAGUGAGGAAUAUUGGACAAUGGGCGCAAGCCUGAUCACAGCCAUGCCGCGUGCAGGAAGACGGUCCUAUGGAUUUAAAGUGCUUUUGUACGGGAAGAAACACUCCUACGUGUAGGAGCUGAC